Molecule: long non-coding RNA, 490 nt
Organism: Cyprinus carpio (common carp)
Lineage: Eukaryota; Metazoa; Chordata; Actinopteri; Cypriniformes; Cyprinidae
Source: Ensembl
AAAAACUCAGAGCGAAAGAGAAAAUAAGAUGCAGCACAUGAGAGAAGGAACACAUUUCUCACUGGUGGUGUCUCCCCUACUGGAGAAAUAGUUUCAUUGUCACAAAAAAUUAUCCAGACGAUUCCGCAACAGAUAACCCCAUUGCGCAACCCAUUACCCUGCAGACCAGCUGCAGUCACCGAAAUCGUCCCACAAAAGUAUGUUAGCUGCAUUUCAUUUUCACAUCUCUUUUCUGUGUCUGGACAUUGUUUUUUUGAUCAUAUUUAUCCUAGAUGCGAAUGAUGACGCUGAAAGGACCGGUUCCUGCAGGCCUGCCGCCCCUCAUAAACGCGUCAGCGGUGGAGCAGCUCAGAGCCCGCGAAGAACAAAAGACAAAACAAUGCGAAUGAUGACGCUGAAAGGACCGGUUCCUGCACGCCUGCCGCGCCUCAUAAACGCGUCAGCGGUGGAGCAGCUCAGAGCCCGCGAAGAACAAAAGACAAAACAGUGA